RNAcentral lists this transfer RNA (76 nucleotides) under Ruminococcus sp. RNAcentral's name for it is "tRNA-Met". It matches the Rfam family "tRNA". From Rfam's summary of the family: Transfer RNA (tRNA) molecules are approximately 80 nucleotides in length. Their secondary structure includes four short double-helical elements and three loops (D, anti-codon, and T loops). Further hydrogen bonds mediate the characteristic L-shaped molecular structure. tRNAs have two regions of fundamental functional importance: the anti-codon, which is responsible for specific mRNA codon recognition, and the 3' end, to which the tRNAs corresponding amino acid is attached (by aminoacyl-tRNA synthetases). tRNAs cope with the degeneracy of the genetic code in two manners: having more than one tRNA (with a specific anti-codon) for a particular amino acid; and 'wobble' base-pairing, i.e. permitting non-standard base-pairing at the 3rd anti-codon position. The record is from RNAcentral. Lineage: Bacteria; Bacillati; Bacillota; Clostridia; Eubacteriales; Oscillospiraceae. RNAcentral also lists the same sequence under 8 other names.
CGCGGAGUAGAGCAGUUGGUAGCUCGUCGGGCUCAUAACCCGGAGGUCGCAGGUUCAAGUCCUGCCUCCGCAACCA